GAUGGACGCCAUCACUCCCCUAUUUCCCUCUUCACCUCCACGGCCACGCCGCGUCGCCGCCCGAGCCCCGCUGCGGUUGCUAUGAUCCGCCGCGCCGCCCCGUAGCCCCACACCCGAAGCUGCAGCCGAGAUGCAUCUGAGCGAGAACCAGGGGAUCGAGGGCGUGCGGUUCGCGGUGACUGGCGGGCAGGGCUUCGUCGGCGCUGCGCUAUGCCUGGAGCUGAUCCGCCGCGGCGCCCUGGAGGUCUGCUCCCUCGACGGCUCGACCUGCGCAAUUCCUCCUCUUGGUCCCAGCAGCUCCUCGACGCCGGCGUCCGCUUCUUCCAAGGCAAUGAGGGAAGUAGAUGGGCAUGGCUGAUCUGUUCGUCAUGCAGUUAUGUGCUAUCUUAUUCCUUGAUACUGAGUGUGAGUCCAUGCAUGUGCAAGCUAUAUGUACUCUUAUUUCCUACUAUUCCUGUAUGGUACCACUUUUCCCCUAGCAAGGAUAUGUGAGCCUAUUAACCUUAUGUUGUCUGUCAAUGUCAGAUUUAGAACCCAGCAAAGAAAUAUGGCAGAAAUUUGCAUAUUAACCUUUCUUGUGCAGGUUAGAGAUAUAAAUGGCGUACAAAUGCUUCUGUGCCAUGAGUGUGUAAACUUGAUGAGGCAACAUGGUCUUCAAGCACAAGAAAUACCCAUGGACCUGAGUGCGGGUUGCCGCUCCGGUCUCCACUCCUCUGCUUGACCACCGCCGCCACCACGUUGAGGCCCUCGCCACCAAGCGGCAUGCUUUCCCGAGGAUCAGCAACUAAUGGCAAACAUGUCAGCGAGCUCCGAGUGAGGUGGCCCAUGCAACAUGAAGAAGACCAUCCGGACAAAGGGCAGGCACACAAUUAGCCAAUAACACAAGGAGACGUGCAGGUCUGCGUUUCUGAGUUAUAUCUCUUUUAGCACUAGCGAUUAAAUGGUCUGUAGCUGGUCAGGCAUGCUUGUCUAAAAUGUACUUUAGUAGUUGCUAGAUCCAUGCUAGCUUCUAUGUUGUUCUUGCAGCCUCAACUAGCUAAUUUUAUUUAAAGCAAAUGUUGUUCUUUCCUUCCAAUUACUGUUAUUCAGAUCUUCUUUUAUUUUUCUGUUGUCAUUCACAGUACAAAUGUUAUGAGAAUUUCAGGAAUUUUGUCAUAUCUUUCUCCCAGUUACCUUAAUUUUGUAAAUUGUGGUCUAAUUCAAUUUUGGGUUUGUUUUCAGAAAAGCCUACUUUAAAGCUGUGUAAAUCCAUUAUUUCCUUUGAGUUUUCCGUGGAGGUGAGUUGGGAACCUUUUUUAUACAUGGUGGAUGCACUGAUGUAGUGACGGAGACUUGCCUGAAUGUUGUUUUCCUCCGCGUGAAGUGCUUACAAUUCUCAAUGGCGUCAACAAGUCCCGGAGGAGAUUGACAAGUUGCUGGCAAGAUCUCAAGUUCAUUGCUGUCUUUUUUUGUCUGAACAUUUUCUUAUUUGGAGUUGCAGCCGAUUUAUGGUGUGUCAACCGACUUGGCUUAGGAUGUAUUGUAGUUGGUUUGGUUGCAUCAACCAACAAGUCUUAUUAUGUAUUGCAGUUGGUUUGGUACCAUCAGCCGAUUGUCCAGUUGGAAAACCAGCGGGGAAAACAUGUACUGUGAGCUCCCCUCGCAUUCAGAGUUUAGAGCUUGAUGAACAAUGUUACAUGAGCUUGUUGAUGAUCUGCUAUUUUUCACAAAA
Molecule: long non-coding RNA, 1711 nt
Organism: Triticum dicoccoides
Lineage: Eukaryota; Viridiplantae; Streptophyta; Magnoliopsida; Poales; Poaceae
Exons: 3
Source: RefSeq, a predicted model, not a curated record